This is a non-coding RNA of Pelobates cultripes (western spadefoot toad), 234 nucleotides long. The record is from the annotation of a GenBank genome assembly. Lineage: Eukaryota; Metazoa; Chordata; Amphibia; Anura; Pelobatidae.
GUGACAUUGUAACUGUGUGUGCGGAGGGAGUGUGUGGGAUGAAUGUAUUUGAUGAGUUAGUCUUUGACACAGCACCUGCCGGACCCACUCCUCUUAGAGAGUGGUCUGGGACCUGCCGCGCGCAUCUCGUUGUGGCGGCAUUCCCACGUGGCAAUGGGAAUGCCGCCAAUUACUUACAUCUUCCUGUGGCACCCACUGUCCUCACUCCGAGCACGGUCUAGGAGCUGACAGGUG